GUCCUGGAACAGCUCAGUCGGUAGUGCACGAGGAGACUCUUAAUCUCUAGGUCGUGGGUUUGAGCCCCACACUGGGCA
Molecule: non-coding RNA, 78 nt
Organism: Podarcis lilfordi (Lilford's wall lizard)
Lineage: Eukaryota; Metazoa; Chordata; Lepidosauria; Squamata; Lacertidae
Source: the annotation of a GenBank genome assembly